GAGGGUGAUGCCUGCCCAAUGGUUGUAUCUAAAAGCGGUUGAUAAAAGUCGACCUCGUAAGGACAAUUGAAUGGCCGCGGUAACACUGACCGUGAUAAUGUAGCGUAAUCAAUAGCCAAUUAAUUGUUGGCCAGUAUGAAUGGCGCCACGAAGGCCCCACUGUCUUAAGGAAAUUCCCAGUGAAAUUGAAUUCGUAGUGAAGAUGCUACGUCCAAUUUGUUAGACGAAAAGACCCCGUUGAGCUUUACUGGAGCACUUAUAUGGCCCCGGCCUUCCCAUGCCUGGGAACCGGCCGAAUUUAAAUGGGCGGCUUAGAUUAUGUGGCAGCCCCCCGCUGGGGCAAAUGAAACACCACUCCCCCAUGUCAAAGGGGCUAACCCCCCCCUUGGGGGGGACAGUGUAAGUAGGACAGUUUGGUUGGGGCGACCGCCUUUUAAAAAGUAACGAAGGUGCGCUUAAGGUGUGCAAUUAAUGACUGAAGCCUGACUGCGAGGGGGGUACCCCGAGCAGACACCCCUAAGCCCGCCCGAAGGGCGGCGGUGGGGUGG
Molecule: ribosomal RNA, 548 nt
Filed under: Zoanthus pulchellus
Lineage: Eukaryota; Metazoa; Cnidaria; Anthozoa; Zoantharia; Zoanthidae
Description: partial 16S ribosomal RNA
Rfam family: Bacterial large subunit ribosomal RNA
Source: RNAcentral